GAUGAACGCUGGCGGCGUGCCUAAUACAUGCAAGUCGAGCGAACAGACGAGGAGCUUGCUCCUCUGACGUUAGCGGCGGACGGGUGAGUAACACGUGGAUAACCUACCUAUAAGACUGGGAUAACUUCGGGAAACCGGAGCUAAUACCGGAUAAUAUAUUGAACCUCAUGGUUCAAUCGUGUAAGAAGGUUUUGCUGUCACUUAUAGAUCGCUCAGCGCCGCAUUAGCUAGUUGGUAAGGUAACGGCUUACCAAGGCAACGAUGCGUAGCCGACCUGAGAGGGUGAGCGACCACACUGGAACUGAGACACGGUCCCGACUCCUACGGGAGGCAGCAGUAGGGAAUCUUCCGCAAUGGGCGAAAGCCUGACGGAGCAACGCCGCGUGAGUGAUGAAGGUCUUCGGAUCGUAAAACUCUGUUAUUAGGGAAGAACAAAUGUGUAAGUAACUAUGCACGUCUUGACGGUACCUAAUCAGAAAGCCACGGCUAACUACGUG
RNAcentral lists this ribosomal RNA (497 nucleotides) under uncultured bacterium. RNAcentral's name for it is "partial 16S ribosomal RNA". It matches the Rfam family "Bacterial small subunit ribosomal RNA", at positions 28 to 507 of the family's 1533-position model. The record is from RNAcentral.